GGGGAUAUAGCUCAGUGGUAGAGUGCUUGCCUCUCAUGCACAAAGCCCUGGGUUCAAUCCCCAGCACCA
Molecule: transfer RNA, 69 nt
Filed under: Ictidomys tridecemlineatus (thirteen-lined ground squirrel)
Lineage: Eukaryota; Metazoa; Chordata; Mammalia; Rodentia; Sciuridae
Description: Spermophilus tridecemlineatus (thirteen-lined ground squirrel) tRNA
Rfam family: tRNA
About the family: Transfer RNA (tRNA) molecules are approximately 80 nucleotides in length. Their secondary structure includes four short double-helical elements and three loops (D, anti-codon, and T loops).
Source: Rfam by way of RNAcentral